Molecule: ribosomal RNA, 502 nt
Filed under: uncultured bacterium
Lineage: Bacteria
Description: bacterial SSU rRNA
Rfam family: Bacterial small subunit ribosomal RNA
Source: RNAcentral
CCCCUUCGGGGGACAAAGUGACAGGUGGUGCAUGGUUGUCGUCAGCUCGUGUCGUGAGAUGUUGGGUUAAGUCCCGCAACGAGCGCAACCCUUAAGCUUAGUUGCCAGCAUUAAGUUGGGCACUCUAAGUUGACUGCCGGUGACAAACCGGAGGAAGGUGGGGAUGACGUCAAAUCAUCAUGCCCCUUAUGAUUUGGGCUACACACGUGCUACAAUGGACAAUACAAAGGGCAGCUAAACCGCGAGGUCAUGCAAAUCCCAUAAAGUUGUUCUCAGUUCGGAUUGUAGUCUGCAACUCGACUACAUGAAGCUGGAAUCGCUAGUAAUCGUAGAUCAGCAUGCUACGGUGAAUACGUUCCCGGGUCUUGUACACACCGCCCGUCACACCACGAGAGUUUGUAACACCCGAAGCCGGUGGAGUAACCAUUUAUGGAGCUAGCCGUCGAAGGUGGGACAAAUGAUUGGGGUGAAGUCGUAACAAGGUAGCCGUAUCGGAAGGUGC